RNAcentral lists this ribosomal RNA (499 nucleotides) under uncultured organism. Its description in RNAcentral is "bacterial SSU rRNA". It matches the Rfam family "Bacterial small subunit ribosomal RNA", at positions 29 to 507 of the family's 1533-position model. The record is from RNAcentral.
AACGAACGUUAGCGGCGCGCUUAACACAUGCAAGUCGCACGAGAAAGGGCUUCGGCCCCGGUAAAGUGGCGCACGGGUGAGUAACACGUGGGUAAUCUUCCCUCGAGCGGGGGAUAACAUUCCGAAAGGAGUGCUAAUACCGCAUAAGACCACGGCUUCGAAAGAAGCUGAGGUCAAAGCUGGCCUCUAUAUAUAAGCUAGCACUUGAGGAUGAGCCCGCGGCCCAUCAGGUAGUUGGUAGGGUAACGGCCUACCAAGCCUAAGACGGGUAGCUGGUCUGAGAGGAUGAUCAGCCACACUGGAACUGAGACACGGUCCAGACUCCUACGGGAGGCAGCAGUGGGGAAUCUUGCGCAAUGGGCGAAAGCCUGACGCAGCGACGCCGCGUGAGUGAUGAAGGCCUUCGGGUUGUAAAGCUCUGUGGGGAGGGACGAAUAAGUAGAAGCUAACACCUUCUAUGAUGACGGUACCUCCUUAGCAAGCACCGGCUAACUCUGUG